This 434-nucleotide ribosomal RNA is filed under the name uncultured Clostridiales Family IV bacterium. RNAcentral describes it as "bacterial SSU rRNA". It matches the Rfam family "Bacterial small subunit ribosomal RNA", at positions 341 to 792 of the family's 1533-position model. Lineage: Bacteria; Bacillati; Bacillota; Clostridia; Eubacteriales; Eubacteriales Family IV. Incertae Sedis. The record is from RNAcentral.
ACGGAAGGCAGCAGUGGGGAAUAUUGGGCAAUGGGCGAAAGCCUGACCCAGCGACGCCGCGUGAGGGAAGAAGAUCUUCGGAUUGUAAACUUCUGUUCUUAGUGAAGAUAAUGACGGUAGCUAAGGAGCAAGCCACGGCUAACUACGUGCCAGCAGCCGCGGUAAUACGUAGGUGGCAAGCGUUGUCCGGAAUUACUGGGUGUAAAGGGAGCGCAGGCGGGAAAUCAAGUUGGAUGUGAAAUGUCGGGGCUUAACCCCGGAACUGCAUCCAAUACUGAUUUUCUUGAGUGAAGUAGAGGUAGGCGGAACUCCGAGUGUAGCGGUGAAAUGCGUAGAUAUUCGGAGGAACACCAGUGGCGAAGGCGGCCUACUGGGCUUUAACUGACGCUGAGGCUCGAAAGUGUGGGGAGCAAACAGGAUUAGAUACCCUGGUA